This is a long non-coding RNA of Impatiens glandulifera, 627 nucleotides long. RefSeq lists it as uncharacterized. The transcript is spliced from 4 exons. The record is from RefSeq and is a predicted model, not a curated record. NCBI's taxonomy places the organism in Eukaryota, Viridiplantae, Streptophyta, Magnoliopsida, Ericales, Balsaminaceae.
GGUUAGCACAUUCUUUUAGAAAAUGAAGCAGAUGCUUUUUGGUGCUUUCAACGAGCUAUGCGGAAAUUGAGAGAGAAUUUCAGGUCUGAUGCGAACUCUAUGGGAGUGCAAACUCAGUUGCGUGCCCUUUCAGGAAUUGUUAGAGUUAUUGAUCCAAAGCUUCAUCAACACCUUGGUUGGAAAAUCAUGGAUUGGACCCAAAUGCUGAAAUUGUUCCCAAGGGACCAAUAACUGGGAAAAUCGAUCCACGGGCAAUGCAUGGAACUCCUUAGCAUUGUCUCCAAAAAGUGAUGGUGGCAGUGGUACUCGACCAUCAACUGCAGCUAGCGAUAGAGGGCAUGAACCUGUUCCAAGUUCAUGGGGUUCAAAUUCUAGGCCAUCAUCAGCCUCUAGAGCAUUGUCAUCAAACCAAUCAGCAUUGACAUCAUUACGUCCUCACAAUGCAGAAACAAGGCCUGGAAGUAGCUCACAAAUAGUAAUGUUAGGAUAUCAUAUGUUCUUACACAAAUAGGAAAAUGCAUUUUCUCUUGCAAUUGCAAUCUGAUGCAUUAUGGCAAUUAUUAUAACUUCAAGUAUGCUAAUUACCAUACCUAUGUUAAUUACCAUACCUGAAGAAUGAUAAAAAAU